UAGGAGACCCGUAUCAUCGUGGUCGGUAGGGUACGCAUUGGUCGCCUCUCUUUGAGCGGAUGGGUGACGAGCGUACCCUACCCCUUCCGCUCUCGAAUGGCUAAAGUCGAGCUAGAGAAACUGUCUGAUAAAUCGCUAGCUCGUGCAAGAACAGCUCGAUCAGUUCGUUCAGGAUGUCCGGUUCGCCCUCUUCCUGCAGCUCUCACAGGCCCGCCAGCACACUCAGAUCUAGAGGAUCUUCCUCCUAGUCCUCCCUAGUAGCAGAGCCGUUGCCCGCUGCAGAAACAGUCGCUUCCUCCUCCGGUCCUUUUUCCUCUGAGACCCAGCGCUCCAGCACCGCCUCUAGCUCCUCGGGUUUUACCGGCUUAGCGACGUAGUUUACGUAACCUAGAAAGUACAAACGACUCCGGCCUAACGUUCCGUGCCCUGCUUACUGAGGGCAGCGCCAUCCGAUUGGAGUUGAUGAGAGGUGUAGAGAUA
Molecule: unclassified non-coding RNA, 480 nt
Filed under: plant metagenome
Description: partial contains 5.8S ribosomal RNA, internal transcribed spacer 2, and large subunit ribosomal RNA
Source: RNAcentral